UGACUCCUUAUUCUAACCUAGGUUAUUGUUUUGUAUCCCAUCAAGAACUUGAUCGCUUGGAAGAAAUACAAUCAAGAGUUGACCCGCUAGACAACCUUCCUUUUGCUUUUUUGUGAUGCAUCUAGCAACCAAGGAGGUUUUAGCAACCAUGUUUAUAUUGAUAAAUCUGCAUAGUUUUUCUGUUGAAUUGUAAAAUUUUGGAUGUUGUUAACCCUGUUUGCCCUAAUUCCCAUCGUAGAUCAGAAUGUUUGGCUUAUUUAAUUCAUUUUUAUUAUUCCCACAUUUGCCUCACUUGCUAUGGUGUUUCAGUUAUUAAGGAUUUUGUUCAUUCCAUUACAAAUGGAUUCUUCGUUUGAUUUGGUUUCCUAACUACAACCUAGAAGGAGGGAUU
RNAcentral lists this long non-coding RNA (391 nucleotides) under Trifolium pratense (red clover). RNAcentral describes it as "long non-coding RNA (TPRA_LNC006599)". Lineage: Eukaryota; Viridiplantae; Streptophyta; Magnoliopsida; Fabales; Fabaceae. The record is from RNAcentral.